RNAcentral lists this ribosomal RNA (792 nucleotides) under uncultured archaeon. RNAcentral describes it as "bacterial SSU rRNA". It matches the Rfam family "Archaeal small subunit ribosomal RNA", at positions 85 to 879 of the family's 1478-position model. The record is from RNAcentral.
ACUGCUCAGUAACACGUGGAGAACGUGCCCUUAAGUGGAGGAUAAUCUCGGGAAAUUGAGGAUAAUACUCCAUAGAUCAUGGGAUCUGGAAUGACCCAUGGUUCAAAGUUCCGGCGCUUAAGGAUCGCUCUGCGGCCUAUCAGGUAGUAGUGGGUGUAAAGUACCCCCUAGCCUAUGACGGGUAUGGGCCUUGAGAGAGGGAGCCCAGAGUUGGAUUCUGAGACACGAAUCCAGGCCCUACGGGGCGCAGCAGUCGCGAAAACUUCACACUGGGGGCAACCCCGAUGAGGGAAAUCCUAGUGCUAGGACAUUUGUUCUAGCUUUUCUCAAGCGUAGAUAACUUGAGGAAUAAGGGCUGGGUAAGACGGGUGCCAGCCGCCGCGGUAAUACCUGCAGCCCAAGUGGUGGUCGAUUUUAUUGAGUCUAAAACGUUCGUAGCCGGUUUGGUAAAUCUUUGGGUAAAUCGGGAGGCUCAACUUUCCGACUUCCGAAGAGACUGUCAAACUUGGGACCGGGAGAGGCUAGAGGUACUUCUGGGGUAGGGGUAAAAUCCUGUAAUCCUAGAAGGACCACCGGUGGCGAAGGCGUCUAGCUAGAACGGAUCCGACGGUGAGGGACGAAGCCCUGGGUCGCAAACGGGAUUAGAUACCCCGGUAGUCCAGGGUGUAAACGCUGCCGACUUGGUGUUGGAGGCCCUUCGGGGGCAUUCAGUGCCGGAGAGAAGUUGUUAAGUCGGCUACUUGGGGAGUACGUCCGCAAGGAUGAAACUUAAAGGAAUUGGCGGGGGAGCAC